This is a long non-coding RNA of Zingiber officinale, 952 nucleotides long. RefSeq lists it as uncharacterized. The transcript has 4 exons. The record is from RefSeq and is a predicted model, not a curated record. Lineage: Eukaryota; Viridiplantae; Streptophyta; Magnoliopsida; Zingiberales; Zingiberaceae.
GUAUUUAUUUGCCUAGUUCGUGUUUGCUACUUUGUAGACAAAUCUCAAUUCUUAAUCAAGAUCGGACAGGAUGUGCUACAUGAUGUACUUAAAAGGAUACUUCUUUCAUAAUAUAGUGAUAUUCAUCGCCUAUUUUCAUAGAAAUUGUUUUGACAGGAUUUGUGAUAGAGCAGGAGUCCAUGUCCAUUGAUGUAAUAAGGAAGGCAUACCAAGCAACAGAAGUCACAAAAUUUGUAACACAAUUUGAAGUGGACCUUUUGGUUAUGCUCAAUUGGAUUUUGUUGUUGUCGUUAGUAUUUGAAUGAAUAACUUACAACCGAUGCUAAGAAAAUACAUUGACUGAGUACUUGCUCAUAUCAAUAGGGUUUUGGCCGACUAUCCUUAGUUGCAAGCUCCGCUGCACAGUCUGCUGCUAAUGUUGUUCAAGCAGGAACAAAGGAGCUGUCAUCCAAGCGUCUUUCAGAUAUUUUGAAGGUAAAUGGAUGUAUUCAGGAACUCCAACUAAACAGUUCAGGGUGCAAGGGUUAUUGCAGAUAUGCUGAAAGAAAAUCAAACUUUACGUGCACCGGAACUUAACAAUAAUAUGAUUGAAUAUUCUGGUUUUGCAAGUCUUGCUGGAGCACUAGUUGAGAAUAGGGCAAUUCGAUCUAUACAUCUCAAGCUAAUAAGAUUUACACACACUUAGAUUUUCUAUCCAUGCAGUUCUUGCUUGCAGAUUUAAUUUCUUCAUCAGAUCUGUUGGCUUUCUAGUAUUUAUUGAUUGUACUACUUCUCAGCAAUUAUGUAAAACUAUAUUUCUUCUUGUUUAGGAAAAAUAACACUUCUAGAUAUUGGCAACAAUGAGAUUGGUCCCAAAGGCGCCUUUAGCAUCGCUGAGUUUGUUAAGAAAACUAAGUCCUUGCUAUGGCUGAAUCUUUACAUGAAUGACAUUGGCGAUGAGGUGUGGUUAUUG